GGAAAAUUGCCUUUAUUUAAGCCGUGGCUUAUUUAGGCCGCGGCUUAUUUUUGCUCGUAUAAAUGGCCCUAUUUUAACUAAUUUAAUCUCAACUAGCAAGAACGCACUUCACCAAAUAUUAAGCUCUAGUGCGAUAUUUAUAACAUGUUUGUAACAUGAUUUCAGUAUAUCUAAUGUAACGAGUUCCAUUUUGAAACGAAUAGAAAGCAGCAUGGCCGCAGCAUGACUACUUAAUAAAUCUAUAUGGACUACCAUAUAUUAGUUUGAGAAUUAAUACUUUUCAGACGACAUAUAGCUAUAGUUUUGGCAAAUGAUAUCUAGUUGAGUUUUAUAGAGGGAAGGAUCUCGUAUCUUUUUUUUCAAUUCAAUUUAUUUACCACUUCUUUCAGUUAUUUACAUUGAUUAUUGUAAUAAUAUUUAGGUAUAUAUUUAUAUUUAUGUAUGUCAAAUUGAAAGUGGCGAG
Molecule: non-coding RNA, 463 nt
Organism: Paramuricea clavata
Lineage: Eukaryota; Metazoa; Cnidaria; Anthozoa; Malacalcyonacea; Plexauridae
Source: the annotation of a GenBank genome assembly